CAGGCUUAACACAUGCAAGUCGAGGGGUAACAUUGUGCUUGCACAGAUGACGACCGGCGCACGGGUGCGUAACGCGUAUAGAACCUACCUUUUACAGAGGAAUAGCCUUUAGAAAUGAAGAUUAAUGCCUCAUAGUAUUGUAGACUGGCAUCAGUUUAUAAUUAAAGAUUUAUCGGUAAAAGAUGGCUAUGCGUCCUAUUAGUUAGUUGGUAAGGUAACGGCUUACCAAGACAGCGAUAGGUAGGGGUCCUGAGAGGGAGAUCCCCCACACUGGUACUGAGACACGGACCAGACUCCUACGGGAGGCAGCAGUGAGGAAUAUUGGACAAUGGAGGAGACUCUGAUCCAGCCAUGCCGCGUGUAGGAAGAAUGCCCUAUGGGUUGUAAACUACUUUUAUACAGGAAGAAACACUGGUAUGUAUACCAGCUUGACGGUACUGUAAGAAUAAGGACCGG
RNAcentral lists this ribosomal RNA (456 nucleotides) under uncultured Polaribacter sp. Its description in RNAcentral is "bacterial SSU rRNA". It matches the Rfam family "Bacterial small subunit ribosomal RNA", at positions 43 to 496 of the family's 1533-position model. Lineage: Bacteria; Pseudomonadati; Bacteroidota; Flavobacteriia; Flavobacteriales; Flavobacteriaceae. The record is from RNAcentral.